CCCACUCUAAUUUUCGAGUUAGGGCAUGUAAGAGAAGCUCGAACCCUAGAAUCUUUUAUUUUCAUUCUGCAUUCUGGAAAGAAGUCUUCGUGGUGGCUACAUGUUGUGAUGAAGUUUGUGCAUGUGCUCGAACUAAGGUUUUGGACAUGGGCCUUACAGGGAUCGAACUCAAAGUUCUCUGUGUGAGAUUUCUACCUUCAAUGUCACUGUCUUCACAUGAGGGAUGCAUGCAAAAGGUAAAUAUAGGGUUUUGACUGCUCUUUAUCUUACAAGAUCCUCCUAUAAACAUUCAAUGCACCCAUACCAGAGUGGCAUGCUCUUAAUAUCCUCUAUCUUAGUGACUUUAAUACUGUGAUACACUUUCAUUUUACUGCUCAGUGACCUCACUAGGGUGAUAUAAUGCAUGCAACUGCUAUAAGGUUGUAUGCUGCUAAUUGUUCAUGUUGUUUACUGUGCUAUGGCUUGAACGAGCUUGAUGUGCUAUAUCUCCGUGUCAUUAUGCUUUGAUGUCUUUCAUGCUUUUGUUUAUGCUGCAGAUCAUCCUUAUAUGAUGACUGUUGAAAGACAAUAAUUGACUACUACAAAUCUAUGUAUCUCACUGAUGUAAUUUAUUGUUCUAAUAGUCAUAAACAAUAAACUUUAAACCGAUCCAUGGUGAGUCAUUGCACUUUGUCUGUAUGCAAUCACUGUAUUCAUUUCCCUAAGAUGCUGCUAUAGGAUUUUGAGUGGAUCUUGAUCACAACUGUUGUAGUUUAUUGUUCCUUGUGAAUGGACAAGGACUUCGGAUCUCAUUACCUUGCUUUUUCUAUGAGGUGAUAAUGGUUGUUAUGAGGUUGUCAAAUAGAUCUGUGACUGAGAUAACGUCAUCUUUGUUGUGACAGUGAUUCAUCUUUAUGCUACUAAAGACUAAUCCGAUUUGUAUUAUCUAUGAUUCUUGCCACCUUCAAUGCUUUGAUUGCUAUCAUUACUGAAUAUAUGCAUGCUUCAUGUAGGCUGUUAUAUCUGAUUGUAUAUUAAGUCACUACCCACUCUCUAUAUAUCAUCAUGCAUCCAUUCAAAUAAUCCCUAAUGUUGCUCAUUUGAUGAACCUUCAAUGCCAUUGUAUAUAACUAAACCGUAUAUAUUAAUUAUCAUACUACAACUUUAUGACUGAAAUUUGCUUUGAAUGUUGUUCUGAGGGAAUUGUGACUUAAUACUGGGACCCAUGCGGUUAUUAUCAUUCCAUCUUGAAUAUCAUCGUGUCUGAAUUCUUUGAUACCUUGUUAUGACUGUCCUUGGAUCACAAACACUCUUCAUUUGUACUUGUUGUAGAUGCAUGAUAGCUUGGAUGCCCAUGUACAUUUCUCUUAAUCAACUUAUUAUUGUCAAAAGCCUGCACCUUAAUGUUCUUUUGAGACUUUGGUUUAUGCUUAAAUGUUUGUGGUUAUCUUUUGAUCAUGUGGACUGAUGCUAAUUCUGAUUGAACCUUCUCUGGGAAAUAUCACUUUCCUCAUCUUUGACUGGGCUUCUUCAUAACUUGCAACAGUACAUAUCUUGCAACAGUACUUUGGAUCCUUUAUUUGUCUCAUAUGCUGCAUGAGUGUCAUUUCAUGAGUGACUAUUCUAAGACUAUUUGGAUAGUGGUAACUUCUGUGUGUUUCCCUUGAGGCCUUGAAGCUUUAUUUGAACCUACUAGUACACCCAUUGUCAUCUGAUAAUUUGAUCCCAUUAUAUGUCAGUGUGUGCGCUAAUGGAUGUAGGUACUUGUUCUUUGAUGGCUCAUAUAAUAAUUGAUAUUCUAUAUUUGACUGUUCUGGUAUUAAUACUCAGUAUGCUAAGAUCUACCCUUGUGGGAGCCAAUUUUAAUCUACAUACUUGAACAUGGAGUAUUAUCAUGAACCUGUACUUGCACACUGAACAAACAUGUUAGAUAAAACAUGAUAUUUGUUUUUAUCUCAUGACAUUCUCCCGAUUCCUCUGAUAUCUUUUUUAUGAAUCUGGCUCACUGAUAGCUGUAGGCAUAUGUUUUGAUAUCCUUAUGCAGAUAGACUAUGCAUUCUGAUGAGUUUGAGUGUGAAAGUAUGGUUAUCAUCAUUUCUCUAACAUAAUUUUUCAAUUCUUACAUGAACUAAUGGAAUGAGAGCGGGAGAAGUUGAAGAUGGAUGAGUAGAUGAGGAUGCAACCACUCCUUCAAGCUCAGGCUCACCAUUCCAGGCAAUGACGGGUCACCUUACUAUUACACUCAUGCUUUCAUUUAUUUAUAUAGCUUAGCUAUAUAACUAUAUGAGAGUGUAUGUCUCUAGCUAGUCAACUAUUCCCACUGAUAGUGUAUGUCUGUAGCUAGUCAACUAUUCCCACGACUCGUGUGGGACACCUUACACAUUUUUUUAAUAUAAGAACUAUUUCUAUGCAA
Molecule: long non-coding RNA, 2392 nt
Organism: Cryptomeria japonica (Japanese cedar)
Lineage: Eukaryota; Viridiplantae; Streptophyta; Pinopsida; Cupressales; Cupressaceae
Exons: 2
Source: RefSeq, a predicted model, not a curated record